Non-coding RNA from Pteropus alecto (black flying fox), 84 nucleotides. NCBI's taxonomy places the organism in Eukaryota, Metazoa, Chordata, Mammalia, Chiroptera, Pteropodidae. The record is from Rfam.
UGGAUGUGUCAGGUAGGCAGUACAUUGCUAGCUGGCUGUUAUAAUUUCAACAGUGGCUAGUUGUGCUCCCCUCUGUUGCAUUCA